AGAUAUGAUGAUAGCGUUUUGCACGUCAGUCUAACUUGCUUCUGUUGAUGCAAUAUGGUGAUUUGAUCGACUAUCUGAUCU
This is a small nucleolar RNA of Tripterygium wilfordii, 81 nucleotides long. RefSeq annotates it as small nucleolar RNA U31b. Lineage: Eukaryota; Viridiplantae; Streptophyta; Magnoliopsida; Celastrales; Celastraceae. The record is from RefSeq and is a predicted model, not a curated record. The transcript has a single exon.